RNAcentral lists this long non-coding RNA (1146 nucleotides) under Canis lupus familiaris (dog). RNAcentral describes it as "lncRNA (ENSCAFG00845018440.1)". The record is from RNAcentral. Lineage: Eukaryota; Metazoa; Chordata; Mammalia; Carnivora; Canidae.
AUGGUCCGUGAGCUUCGGCGGGGACGGAGCACGGUGGGCCGGCAAGGUGCCCGGAGACCUCAGGGCGGAGCAGGACGCGCCUGUCUCUCCUCUGCACGUGGGUCCCUUUCUCCGAGGCUGUUGGCAUCGUCUCCCGCCGCUACUGCACCCCGACUCCAUCCAGCACGCCAGCUUGGGAGGCAGAGGGAGGGGUGGGGCCUUGCCCUGAGUGUGCACGGCUUCCACGCGCGGCUCAGGAGGAGGGCUCCGUGGGGGCCCGAGCGCGCCGCGGGGUCGGCCGCAAGGUCCUCGGCACCCCGACCUUCGCCGACCCGUCUCCCGCCCUGCAGAGCCUGCGGUCAGCCGUCAGAUGCUUGCAGAGCGCGUGCCAUGGGCCAGGCUGAGUCCCGGGCGGCGGGGCUGCAAGGGGAAGGGGCCCCAUCUCCCCAGCGCACUGAGACCCAGACGUCGGGGAGGCGGUCACACGCGGGCAUGCCUGGUUACAAACCCAGACACGCGCUCCGGCCUUGGGGGGGGGGGGGGCGUGUGGGGUGUGAGUGUGGAGCUGGCCAUGGGCCGGGCGCCCAGGUGUGCACGGGAGGCUGCGCGGAGGCCGACCCUCCGGAGCAAGACCAGCACCGCGGGGCCGUCAGGGGUGGAGUUGGUUGUGUCCAUGGAGAAGGACGGACAGGGCUUCUAGAGCAGAGAAGGACGCAGGAGGACGGAAACCCGAGGGCGGUGGAGGGGUGGGGGGUGCAUCUCGCAAACCCUGGAGGGCAGGUGGCCCCAGCCGCUAAGGCCCUGCGGUCAGCAGCCAAGUGCGAGUGUGACAGGCCGCUCCCUGGGGCCCUCGGUCACCCCUGCGCCCCCCAAACGUCCCGGUUCACGCGCCGACCGGCCGGGCUGCACUGCAGGCCUAAGGCCACCCGAUGGCAGCAAAGGGCCAGCAAACUGGGCCUGGGGGCCACAGGAGGCCGGGAGCCUCCCCCUCAGGCAGGACAGCUGGCCCCAGCCCCCCGCGGGGACGGCCACCUCUCCCCAGGAACGAGAGCCUCUCGGGAUCUCCCGGCCCCGAGUUCAUCCUUUUUAAAACACAGACAAGGAGCACGAAUCACAGGCCAGCUCCGGGCAGCCGGUCGGUCCUGCCGCGGUCGGGAAGGCCGCUGA